Arachis ipaensis is the source of this 3461-nucleotide non-coding RNA. The record is from RefSeq and is a predicted model, not a curated record. NCBI's taxonomy places the organism in Eukaryota, Viridiplantae, Streptophyta, Magnoliopsida, Fabales, Fabaceae.
UACUCAAAUCAAACCCAAACCAAUUUCAGUCCAAAAAAAACUUGUCCAAAAAAUUAAAAAAGGAAGAAGAGUGAGAUCUAAUGAAACCCUAGAUCUACUUGCCGCAUCUCUUCGCCAUUGUCACCGUCAAGCUUGCCAUAGUGUUUGAGAUCAGAGGGAGACGCAUGAAUCUCACCGCAGUCAAAGACGCCGACGAAGUCAUGGAGAGGUACGUUGAGGACACGCUUGCAAUCCUCCCUCCUCUUAAGGAUUGCUACCGCACGUGCUGCGGCGGCGCGCCGUCACAUGAGAAGCUUAGCCUCGUGGACGUUGGAACAGGUGCUGGUCUUCCCGGAGUUAUUUUUGUCAUAGCUUGUUCAGGUUGCAUCUAUGGAUGAUUGGGGUCUGUCAGCCUGUUCCCUGUCCAAUGGCACCAUCUUCUCCUUCUUUUUCUCUUGCUUUUUCUUUGUUGCAUGUCUUUUGUGUUUCUUUGCCGCCUCUUAACACCGUCUCCAUUGGUUUUUAUGAUUGUUGUUACUGAUUGUUAUUGUUUUUGUUACUGAUGGCAAGAAAGUUUCACGCCAAGACAUUGAGCUGGAAGUAUGACAAGAAAGUAUGGCAGAAGCUGGAAGAAGAGAAUGAUGAUUUGUUCAAUCAUUUCCACCCCUGUAAACACAUUUUCACUCUCAUUUUCUGGUACUUUUUUUUAAGUCUACCUUUUGCUAUGAUUGAUGUCAUAACCUGUAUUGUUCAAUUUUCUUUGAAGUGGUAUCUUCCUUAUUAGCAAUAGUUGUGAAGAAUAAUUUUUCUUAUUAGGUUUUGAUCAACAUAAUGUAGCAAAUACUAUCUAAAUUAUUCCUAAUAUGAUGUUAGCUCUACCGUGUACUUUCAGAAGAAGGUGGUUUAAGAAAAUGGUUGGUUCUGCUUUUCUAGUACUUGCUACAAAUUCCUAUUAUUAGGGGUAAAAAAAUAUGAAUUUUCUGCAGAGAUUGGUUAUUUAUUCGGGGAUACAAGUGAGCAUUGCAGGUUUUUCUUGCCAUCUAUUCAUUCUUGUUUAUUCUUUAGUUUUACCACACUUCUGCUUUUAAAAUUUCACGUCUAUGAACCUACUUAAAUACUAAUGAAUUUUAUAUUUUUGAAAUUCUAGCACAUUUAAAGACACCUGAACAAGAGGUGCUCUUGUAUUUAUUCUUGGGUUCUGAAUGCUGGAUCUUGCCAACAAUACUUUGCAGGUUAUUGAUGAGAAGAGUGUACUGAAAACUUGAGAUCGAAAAAGAAAUUGCUGAGAGAAGUUCUUGUUAGGAAAACUAUAUGUACAAAUAUGUGGAUCCUAUUAAAUCGCGUUCUGAUUUUAAAAAUGCUUUCAUGUACUCAAAAAGAACAAUGGGUCUUUACAAAAGAUUCUUCAGGAAUCUUUGAAAAAGCUAUAUGUGCCAACUUUGAUCCAAUGGCAAUGUUGCCAUUUGCUUCUUAUGUGUGCCAUACGAUCGAAGAGUGAAAUUCUAUUUAAGAGAUGCUGGCUUUUAUAAUGUGUCUCAAAUUCGAAAAAUUGUAGGACAAACGGCCCUGAUCAAUACUUUAGUAGAAAGGUGGAAUCCAGUUACUCAUACAUUUUAUCUUUCCAUAGCUGAAUGUACUGUCACUUUAAAAGAUGUAGUAUUGAUUCUCAGAAUUUAAAAAAAUAGUCUACCAGUUACAGGGCCAACUGCCAGCAAUCACGAACUCAUGCAACAAGAAUGCUUGUUGAACUUUGGAGUUGCACCCACAACGAGUAAUUGUAGAGGUAGCUUUAUGAAGCUAACGUGAUUGCGUAAAAUUAAACAUGAUAUAAUGUUGACUGAUUAUGAGGCAUGGAGUGUUAUACCAGGUGCCACAUCAUGUUGUUAUUUGGUCUUUGUGUAAGGCUAUGCAAUAUGAUUGCAAGGAUUUGGAUGGGCCGUUAACACUGCUGCACGUAUGGGUUUGGGAGCGAAUGCCUUUUCUUGCAUCAAUGCGUCGUCCAUCGACAUUUCCGUUAGCUUAUUGAAUGAGUAUCAUUGUCUUUCGACGGAGUAUAAACGCUUGACACCUGCACAUGUCAGGCAUAUGCUUGAUAAUAUGCAGAAUGAUAACUUUGUGUGGGACCCAUAUAGUCCGCGGAUUCUAGGCCCCGAUUUCGUGCUACAUACAUGAUAUCUAUGAGGAUCCACACUUUUGGUUGUCACCGUCUCCUCUUAGUUUCUUUGAGUGCAUUGAGUGGUGUCCAACUAACAGGGUUAAGCGACAAUUUGGGAGGCGACAAGAUAACUCCGGAGAACCCGAAGAUUCUCGGAGAUGCACACAACAAGUUGUUGAUGGGUCCAAAAAAUUUGAACCAGGCCAACCAGUAGAGUGAAUGGAUUAACUUGUGGCAAAACAGACAAUGGGAUGUGCUUGGUACUGAGUUUGUUGAAAAUUUUGAGCCAUCACAUGAGUAUAUUGAUUGGCACCAUCGACAAUAUGCCGAUCAUUUACAGUUGUCCGCUUGAUUUCCUCUACCACCACCACCAUCAUCACGUUUGCCAUCUCCACCACUACUAACAUCACUACCACCACCGCCGCCACCACCACCACAGGCACGUCCUUUGUCACCACAAUUACAGGAAACUAUGGCAGGAUGGUCUCCAACUGAUCAACAAACAGAGCUGCUAAACAUGUGUACACAAUAUCUAUAUGUCCCAUCAUUUGAGGUAGCACAUAGUCAUAACACUGCCGUUGAUAGAGGCAAUGGCAGAAACUGUUUGGGAUCAGAUUGUUGGGUUCAUACAAGACCAAGGUACGUCACAGAUGUCAAAUGUGAUGAACCCAACCCAACACCCUCCACACCAGCAGGAGCAUCUAGCUCAGCUGGUGCAACAGCCACUUCGGGUGGUGCCUGGUAGAUUUUCUUUUGAUGCACGAGUAUAUGGUCCAUCCAGUUCAUCUCAUUUAGCAGCUAGAAUGUCACUUGAUUCCAGUAGGAGUGAAUGGGGUCGAGGUAUUUGUCAUGAGUACAACUCUGGAACUAGUGCAUAUAGUCCAAGAAUCGAUCUUAACCUCAUUGAUUCAUCAAUUCAGGAGACAGAUGAAGAAAACCAAGUUGUCUCUCACAGAUUUGGUGCAUACCAUGAUAAGAUGGACUCUGGUGACGAAGAUGAUAAGGAAAACGAGAUGGAUGAUGAUGGUGGUGAUGAGGCUGAUGAUGGCGAUGAGCAACUGCAGGCUAGAACCGGAGACCAUUGAAGAAUUGGAAAAAUGCUAUAAUUUGAGAGUAAAUCCACCACAUUGAAGCCAAAAUAAAUAUACUCCAUCAACAAUUAAGAAGCCUAUGUCUAAUAAAUAUAAAAAUGUGGUUAAUACUGUUAAGAAAAAAUUUAGCAAGUGUGAAUGGUAAUUUCACUACAAAUUGUAAGACUUUAGAAAAAAGUCCUAUCUUUGUACUAAGUAAUAACUAUGUUGAAUUGAUAAUUAUUAUAUGUUGCCUU